GGGGGAAUCUUGCGCAAUGGGCGAAAGCCUGACGCAGCCAUGCCGCGUGAAUGAUGAAGGUCUUAGGAUUGUAAAAUUCUUUUAGCAGGGACGAUAAUGACGGUACCUGCAGAAAAAGCCCCGGCUAACUUCGUGCCAGCAGCCGCGGUAAUACGAAGGGGGCUAGCGUUGCUCGGAAUUACUGGGCGUAAAGGGAGCGUAGGCGGGUUAUCAAGUUGGAGGUGAAAGCCCAGGGCUCAACCUUGGAAUUGCCUUCAAAACUGAUAGCCUAGAGUAUGGAAGAGGUAAGUGGAACUCCGAGUGUAGAGGUGAAAUUCGUAGAUAUUCGGAAGAACACCAGUGGCGAAGGCGACUUACUGGUCCAUGACUGACGCUGAGGCUCGAAAGCGUGGGGAGCAAACAGGAUUAGAUACCCUGGUAGUCCACGCUGUAAACGAUGAUUGCUAGUUGUCGGGCGGCAUGCCGUUCGGUGACGCAGCUAACGCAUUAAGCAAUCCGCCUGGGGAGUACGGUC
RNAcentral lists this ribosomal RNA (514 nucleotides) under uncultured bacterium. RNAcentral's name for it is "bacterial SSU rRNA". It matches the Rfam family "Bacterial small subunit ribosomal RNA", at positions 355 to 887 of the family's 1533-position model. The record is from RNAcentral.